CACUGUUGUUAUCACUGUUGCAAGGGCUGCAGCUGGGAACAUUUUGUUGGUUUGGUGUCCCAGGGGCCUUGCUGCAUAAUGCCUUAUGCACUGUCCUGUUCCAUCCUGCCUUGCCAGAGAGUGGCAGUGCUGAACUACCCUGAAGCUGUGGGAAUAUGUCCCUGAUACAGCCGUGUCCAGAAUGGUCACACCAGCAUGGAAGAGGAGGAUGAGCUUUGGUGAAGCUGCACCUUGAGUUCUGUGUUCAGUUCUGGGCUACUCACUGCAAGAAAGACAUCGAGGCUUUGGAGCGUGUUUGUAGAAGGGCAUUGGAGCUGUGAAAGGCCUGGAAUACAAGUCUUAUGAGGAGCAGCUAAGGUAACUGGGAGCAUUCAAUCUGGAGAAGAGGAGACUUGGGAGACCUUACUGCUCUCUGCCCCUCCCUGAAAGGAUUUGGUGGUGAGGUGGGGCUCAGCCUCUUCUCCUGCAUUAGUAGUGAUAGGACUAGAGGGAAUGGCCUU
Coturnix japonica (Japanese quail) is the source of this 500-nucleotide non-coding RNA. NCBI's taxonomy places the organism in Eukaryota, Metazoa, Chordata, Aves, Galliformes, Phasianidae. The record is from RefSeq and is a predicted model, not a curated record.